Molecule: ribosomal RNA, 250 nt
Filed under: uncultured bacterium
Lineage: Bacteria
Description: partial 16S ribosomal RNA
Rfam family: Bacterial small subunit ribosomal RNA
Source: RNAcentral
UACGGAGGGUGCAAGCGUUAUCCGGAAUUACUGGGUUUAAAGGGUGCGUAGGCGGUUAGAUAAGUCAGUGGUGAAAGGUUGCCGCUUAACGGUAGAAUGGCCAUUGAUACUGUUUAACUUGAAUCAGGAUGAGGUUAGCGGAAUGAGACAUGUAGCGGUGAAAUGCAUAGAUAUGUCUUAGAACACCAAUUGCGAAGGCAGCUAGCUAGACCUAGAUUGACGCUGAGGCACGAAAGCGUGGGGAGCGAAC